This 253-nucleotide ribosomal RNA is filed under the name uncultured bacterium. Its description in RNAcentral is "partial 16S ribosomal RNA". It matches the Rfam family "Bacterial small subunit ribosomal RNA", at positions 524 to 776 of the family's 1533-position model. The record is from RNAcentral.
UACGUAGGGAGCAAGCGUUGUCCGGAAUCAUUGGGCGUAAAGCGCGCGUAGGCGGCCCUGUAAGUCCGCUGUGAAAGUCAAAGGCUCAACCUUUGAAAGCCGGUGGAUACUGCAGGGCUAGAGUCCGGAAGAGGCGAGUGGAAUUCCUGGUGUAGCGGUGGAAUGCGCAGAUAUCAGGAGGAACACCAAUAGCGAAGGCAGCUCGCUGGGACGGUACUGACGCUAAGGCGCGCAAGCGUGGGGAGCGAACAGG